Molecule: small nuclear RNA, 108 nt
Filed under: Ochotona princeps (American pika)
Lineage: Eukaryota; Metazoa; Chordata; Mammalia; Lagomorpha; Ochotonidae
Source: RNAcentral
UUGCUUGCUCUGGCAGCACAUAUCCUAAAAUUGAAUUGAUACAGAGAAGAUUAGCGUGACCCCUGCACAAGGAUGACAUGCAAAUAUCAUGAAGCGCUCCAUAUGAAA